Molecule: long non-coding RNA, 241 nt
Filed under: Carica papaya (papaya)
Lineage: Eukaryota; Viridiplantae; Streptophyta; Magnoliopsida; Brassicales; Caricaceae
Description: long non-coding RNA (CPAP_LNC003389)
Source: RNAcentral
GUUCAUUUAUUUUCUUUAGAUUUUUAGUCCCCUAGUUUCCUCUAUGGUUAACUACAACAUCAUGUAAUAAACUUCCCAAAAGGAUUAAAAAAUUUUAAGAAAAUUCUCCAACAAGUUUUAAGUUGAACAUGCAUACUUGAUGGCUUCUGAGUUUUGGUAUUUUGGCUUGUCCUCUUAGUUAACAGUAGUACAACUAUAGCUUUCUCUUCUUAAACCAUUACACAAGCAUGCUUAAUAAUAG